CGGACAGAAGCCCGCUGGAUUGGGUGUUUAGCUGUUAACUAAUCUUUUGUGGGAUCGAGGCCCACCUGUCUAG
RNAcentral lists this transfer RNA (73 nucleotides) under Sceloporus formosus. RNAcentral describes it as "tRNA-Asx". The record is from RNAcentral. Lineage: Eukaryota; Metazoa; Chordata; Lepidosauria; Squamata; Phrynosomatidae.